Molecule: ribosomal RNA, 406 nt
Filed under: uncultured bacterium
Lineage: Bacteria
Description: partial 16S ribosomal RNA
Rfam family: Bacterial small subunit ribosomal RNA
Source: RNAcentral
AUUGAACGCUGGCGGCAGGCCUAACACAUGCAAGUCGAACGAGUGGCGGACGGGUGAGUAAUGUCUGGGAAACUGCCCGAUGGAGGGGGAUAACGACUGGAAACGGUAGCUAAUACCGCAUACCAUCGGAUGUGCCCAGAUGGGAUUAGCUAGUGGGUGGGGUAACGGCCAACCUAGGGGACGAUCCCUAGCUGGUCUGAGAGGAGGACCAGCCAACUGGGAACGGUGACACGGUCCAGACUCCUACGGAAGGAAGCAUUGGGGAAUAUUGCACAUUGGGCGCAGUCCUGAUGCAGCCAUGCGGCGUGUAGGAAGAAGGCCUUCGGGUGGAAAAGUACUUUCAGCGAGGAGGCGUUACCGGCAGAAGAAGCACCGGCUAACUCCGUGCCAGCAGCCGCGGUAAUUC